RNAcentral lists this ribosomal RNA (253 nucleotides) under uncultured bacterium. RNAcentral describes it as "partial 16S ribosomal RNA". It matches the Rfam family "Bacterial small subunit ribosomal RNA", at positions 524 to 776 of the family's 1533-position model. The record is from RNAcentral.
UACGUAGGGGGCAAGCGUUGUCCGGAAUCAUUGGGCGUAAAGAGCGUGUAGGCGGCUCGGUAAGUCCGCUGUGAAAGUCCAGGGCUCAACCCUGGAAUGCCGGUGGAAACUGUCGAGCUAGAGUCCGGAAGAGGCGAGUGGAAUUCCUGGUGUAGCGGUGAAAUGCGCAGAUAUCAGGAGGAACACCAACGGCGAAGGCAGCACUCUGGGCCGGUACUGACGCUGAGGAGCGAAAGCGUGGGGAGCGAACAGG